UACAGAGGUCUCAAGCGUUGUUCAGAUUCAUUGGGCGUAAAGGGUGCGUAGGUGGCGCCAUAAGUCAGGUGUGAAAUCUCGGGGCUCAACCCCGAAACUGCACUUGAUACUGUGGUGCUCGAGUACUGGAGAGGAGAUUGGAAUUUACGGUGUAGCAGUGAAAUGCGUAGAUAUCGUAAGGAAGACUAGUGGCGAAGGCGAAUCUCUGGACAGUUACUGACACUGAGGCACGAAGGCCAGGGGAGCAAACGGG
RNAcentral lists this ribosomal RNA (253 nucleotides) under uncultured bacterium. RNAcentral's name for it is "partial 16S ribosomal RNA". It matches the Rfam family "Bacterial small subunit ribosomal RNA", at positions 524 to 776 of the family's 1533-position model. The record is from RNAcentral.